This 482-nucleotide small RNA is filed under the name Pan troglodytes (chimpanzee). RNAcentral's name for it is "retained intron". Lineage: Eukaryota; Metazoa; Chordata; Mammalia; Primates; Hominidae. The record is from RNAcentral.
UGUGGAGCUAAAUUAUUUUCUCUAAGCAAAUGAAAGUGCCUCGAGAAGUGAACUAGCUGGGAGGGGGUGGGUGGGACUGGAAAUAGGCACAAGGUAACCAGUGUAAUUUCUGCUUUCUCUUUCACUGUCCAUGAAGACAAAGGGGUUGAUGACCCGGGAGAAGUGACCUGCUUUGCAGGUAGUAAUAAAGGCAGCAACUCUGAAGUUCAGUCCCUCAGCUCCUUCCAGUCAGAUUCUGGUGACGACAAUGCCUCCAUAGUGACUGUCAUUCAGCUUGUCAACAAUGUAGUUGACACUAUAGAGAAUGAAGUGUCUGUCAUGGACCAAGGACAGAACUACAACCGAGCCUAUCACUGGGACACCUCUGAUUGGAUGCCAGGGGCCCGCCUGUCGGACAUAGAGGAAGUGCCCAACUAUGAGAACCAGGAUGGAGGGUCUGCACACCAGGGGAGCACACGGGAGCUGGAGAGCGAUUACUACCU